UGUAGGAGUGAGCCUGCUCGCGAUAGCAGUGUGUCAGUUUGCAUUUCUUCAUCUGACACACCGCUAUCGCGAGCAGGCUCACUCCUACA
Molecule: non-coding RNA, 89 nt
Filed under: Pseudomonas sp. 29
Lineage: Bacteria; Pseudomonadati; Pseudomonadota; Gammaproteobacteria; Pseudomonadales; Pseudomonadaceae
Source: RNAcentral